Sapajus apella (tufted capuchin) is the source of this 5363-nucleotide long non-coding RNA. RefSeq lists it as uncharacterized. The record is from RefSeq and is a predicted model, not a curated record. The transcript has 6 exons. NCBI's taxonomy places the organism in Eukaryota, Metazoa, Chordata, Mammalia, Primates, Cebidae.
UCAAAUAUCCCAUCUGUACUGGAGGCAAUGCUAUCCAGUGGCUAUCUAAUGCAGCCUUGUCUAACAGAAAUAGAAUGUAAGCCAAAUAUGUAAUUUACAAUUAUUUAUUGGUUACAUUAAAACACAGUAAAAAGAAACAGUGAAAUAGUUUUAAUAAUAAAUUCCUAUGGGGGGAGAGAGAGAGCUUGCUUGUGUGCACAUUCCUGCAUAUAUUGGGGCAUUAUCCCUGGUCCCCUGGGGAGGCAGCCAGGAUCUUCAAAGUCAGUGUAACUCUGGCUUCCUAUUGGGACUCUCUAAAUCUCUGGGUUGCCUAAAGACCACCAAGACCCAGAAAGCCAAGAAUACCUUUUUGGGAGCACUGAGUUGGAAUCUGACAGUGGUUGUAUGGGGCAAGGGAAAGUGGAAGUGACAGCUGCCUUUGGGAAGAGGAAGAGGAAGGACAAGAAACAAAAACAAAAAUCCCCCAGAAAACCCUCCUGUCUCCUGUCGGGAGCCAUAGACUUUGACAACAACUUCCCUGCAGAUCCCACGGAAUGGGAGCAACAGAAUACCUUUCCACUGAGCCUUGCAAAAGGUGUCAGAGACCUCAGGGCUCCUUGGAAAAGACAGGUGACACUACAUCGGGGUGAUGGCAAAAGCGCUUGAACUCCUCCCAGUAAAUGGACAGCAGCGUGGAAGAAUAGAAGCUGCCCAUUUCAGAGGUUUGGAGCAUGAGGCAGGCAUUGAUCAUAGCCCAGGACUCCAUCAGAUUCAGGAGCCACAGCUGCCCUUACUCUCAUGCCCCUUUGUUUCUUCUCUGGAUCUGCCACCUUCACUUCCCUGUUUCUGCUGGUGUUACAGGCACCUGAGCCUUACUCUACAAAAGAUUAUGGUCCUGGACUGACCUGGGGGCUCACUUCUGCCUGUUCUGAGUGGACAGAGAAGGGAUGCGCUUCCCGUUGCUGGGCUUGACACUAUCCUACUUUGUGUUCUGGGAGCCGGAGCAUGGCACACAUGUCCCUUUCUGUGGAUAAUGGGCAGACAGGUCACAUAUCAGAAAUGUGGCCAAACUGUGAGAUUAGUUCCAUUAUUACGUUUCACUUAACCCUGUGAAGCAUGGGUUACUGUUAUCUGCGGGUCAGAGAUGAAUAAAGCCCAAAGCGGUUACUAUUUUCUCAAUGUUACCCUAUGGAGGAACUAGAACUUGAAUCCCCACCUAUCUGAUGCUGAAAUUUGUAUUUUUGUCACCAAACUUUACAAGUCCACUAUGUCUUAUCUGAAACACUCAGGUGGGGGAAAGUAUGGAAGAGUGGGACAUAGUCUUUGGUGAUAGUUUCCUCUCUAAUUCCCUCUGCAGAGGAUAGUUACAUUUAUAAGGGUGUGCUUCAUGCUCUCUAGUUAUAAGAUGCUCUCUUUGCAUCUCCGGGCCAAAAGAUGGGUGAUGGGAAGUUGGAGAUGCAGCCGUGCAAACAUGACGACAAGAGUGUCAGAAACUGCAGCUCUGUUGCUCAUUUCAAUCGCUGGCAGAGGAGUAUCGUAGUGAGAAGUGUGUGUGUGUGUGUGUGUGUGUGUGUGUGUCGUGGAGGAGGACACUUUGAGCAUCAUUGUCUUGGGACAUUGGUAGUUUGCAAUUAAUGAACAGUUCUUUCACCUUUCAUCUGUUCUCAAUUGAACUUUCCAGUAAAUAUAUCAUAAUUACCAGAGCAAGUGUUUAUAGAAGCAGCAGCCUCUAGGUGAGGCAAUUUUUAUGGAAUCACCCAUAAUUUAAUGAAAGCUGUUUCUGGGAUAAUGUUGAAGCUCUAAACCUGCAUAUAGAUAUGCAUAUGCUCUUAGAGCAGGUGCAUGAAUAAACAUGCAUAUGUAUACACUCAUGCUUACACACAUGGAGGCAGACCUGCACACAUGUUGGAGCACAGAAUCCACAUGUGUUCAUUUGCUAGAUACAAACUCAUGUGCUCACAUACAUGCACACAAAUAUAUACACAUGCAUUAUACAGGUAUGCAUAUGUAUUCAUGCCUAUAUGCAGGCAUGUCCAAAUACUCAUGCACAUGCAUUUACAGUAUGCAUACAAUAUUCACAAUUAUGUGGACAUAGCUGCAUAUAUUCAUACUCACAUUGAAAUACAAUUGAUUGCACAUGUACACAUGCUCUCCCAAAAUGCAUAUGGGUCCAUAUACAUCCUCACAUGCACAUGCAUAUAUGCAUGUGCAAUUAAACACUGGCCUUUGCAUUCAUUCACAGACAGGCACCAUGUAACAAGUGAAAUGUGGUACUGGUGGGGUUAAUGGAGGCCCCAGACUCCCAUAAAUAUUAAUAUGAAGCACUCAAGCUCUCAAAGUGGGAGACAAAACCUCUUCCCACAAGGCCUUGUAAAUCAUGCAGCUGCUGCGUGUUACCUGUCAGAUCCAGGGCUGUGCAGUCCAGCAUUUCCUCCAUAAGGGCGGCCACAUACGUGCUGGAGCACACGGCACUGUCCGUGCCUAGCCAGGCAUGCCAGCAAAUGUGCCAAGGUCGGUCCCCACUCCUCGGAUUUGUGAGCAGCAAAAGCAAGUAUUUCAAUGCUGCCGCCGCUGCUACUACAAGUGCAGGACUGGAGGAAUGAAAAGGCAUUUUGUGAAUAUCUGGGACUUGGUUUCUCAAGUAAAGACAGAUGUUAUUCUGUUGUUAUCCUGGAGGGACACCAUGUGGGGACCUUGGUGAGAAGGUGGGUGCAAAAACGAUGUAGGGGUCCUGGGCUGAGUCCAGGUUUGGUGCAGUAGGGACUCCAGCCUCUGGUGAUGCUCUCACCCAAAAAAAUUUUGGGUCCCAGGAGCCUCCUGAAUCCCAGUUCUCCACGGUGCUAUAACCCUUUAUUUAGUGAAUACUCUGUUUCUAGUCCUGCCACCUAAAACCAUUCAGUGGAUCAUUGAACAAAUUGUUUGCCUUUCAUGUGCCAGACACUGUGCUAGGUGCUGGCAAUAUAGAAAUGAACCAAAACAGAAACAAUGGAGUUUACAAUCUAUUAGGAGAGAGAGACAUCAGUAAGAUAUUGUACUAAUGAGCAUACAAUUCCUUCCUCCUUCUCGUCCUCCUUCUUCAAUAGAGUCUCUGUCAUCUAGGCUGGAAUGCAGUGACCAUAGUUCACUGCAGCCUCAAGCUCUUGAACUCAAGUGAUCCUCCCACUUCAGCCUCCUGAGUGGCUGGGACUUAGGUACAAGCCACCAAGCACAGCCAUGAGUGUGCAAUUUCAAAAAGAGAUAACUGAUAUGAAGAAAAGCCACCUGGCUCUCUGAGAGCAUGCAUAGGGCAGUGGAGCUGAUGAAUGGGUAAGAGUGAUCAGAAAAGGCUUCCUGGAGGAAGUGAUGUUUGAGCUGUUAAAGUCUGAAUAAGAGUUAAACAAGUCAAAGAAGGAGGGGAAGAACAUUUGAGAUCAGUGUCACCUGAUAAAACUUUCUGUGAUGAGAAAAAUUUUCUUAUCUGUGCUAUCCAAUAAGAUAGCCACUAGCUGCAAGUGGCUAUUAAACCUUUGAAAUAUGGCUUAUGCAGCUGAGAAUCUGAAUUUUAAACUUCAUUUAGUUUUAAUUGCAUUUAAAAUAAGUGACCAGGAUCUCUAUCUCCUCGGAUUUUCUCUCCCUCUACUUUCUUGCCUUGCUCACUCUGUUCCAGCCACACUGACCACCUGUCUGUUUCUGGGAGAGGCUGGUUAGGGUUCCUCUUUAGGCAAUUUGUUGAAGCUAUUCCUUCUGCCCGAACCACUCUUCUCCCAGAUAAACCUGUAGUGAAAUUACUCAGCUCCCUCAAGUUCUUGCUGAAAUCUCACCUCCUUUAUAAGGCUUAUUCUGACCACCCCAUUAAAUCUGGGAACCUGACUCCUUCUCCUUCUCUGAGCAUCGCUGACCUGGCUUAUUUUUCUUUUAUAUUUCUUUUCUUGUAUUUUUUUUUCUUUAUUUCUUUUCUUACAGCACUAAUCACUUUAGAAUUUAUCAGAUUAUUAUUCACUUCUUGCCUAUUUUCUGAUUCUGUCUGCCAGCAUAUAAGCUUUGUGAGAUCAGUGUCUGAUGACUGUUUUGUUUACUGAUGUUCCUGAGAACCAUGAAUCAUGCCUUAGUAGGACCAUAACAACCCAAUAAUUGGUUGAAUGAACAUGUGUUGUGUAAAAUGUGCUUAAAGAGGAAAGGGUAAUAUCUGUGAAAGCAUGGGUUUGAGGUCCUGGCUCACCCUAUCAAUCAAUCAUUAAUUUAUCUGUCAAUCAUAUCAUCUAUCUGUCAAUCACUAUCUACCUAUUAUCUGUCAUUCACAUCUAUCAUCUAUCAAUCAUCUAUUUCAAUCACAUCUGUCAAUCAUAUCUAUCAAUUAUCUGUUAAUCAUUAUCUACCCAUUAUCUAUCUGUCAUUCAUAUAUCACGUAUCUGUCAAUCACAUCUACCUAUCUGUUAUAAUCUAUCUCCGUGUUUUUUGGUACUCUAAAAAAUACAUACUGCUAAAAUUGUUUUUAAAGCUUAUUUGUAUGGCACCAUCUAGAAUCUUGUAUACCAUUAGUGGUGCACUUGGGGACACAUUGUGGUGUCUGUGGAGAGAAAGAAGAAGCUGACAUCUGAUACGAGAGGAAGAGGAAAUUUGGACACAAAUAGGCACUGAAGAUCGUGUGAAGGCACAGGGAGGAGGUGGCCUUCGGCAAGCCAAGGAGAGAAGCCUCAGAAGACACCAACCCUGCCAAUGCCGUGACCUCAGACUCCAGCCCCCAGAACUUUGCCUGGGAUAGAACCUCCAGAACAAUGCCUAGUUGAAGUGGCUGCCAAGUUCAGGAAACUAAUACAGAUGGCUUCACUAGACCUUCAGGACUUGGCCUUUCCUUCCCUCCAUCCCUACUGCCUGAUGUUCAGUAGGUCUUCAUCUCUGGUUCACACACCUGUAUGUGCUGAUCUCACCACCUAGAACACUCUUCUGGUCUCCACUGGACCUGAGAGGUGUGACGUGCCAGACCAGUUUGCAGAUUCCAUAGAGUCUUCUCUGUUUAUUCAUCUAUGACAUGGGGAUAAUGUGAGUAUACCUACAUUAGAAGGCUGCUAUGAAGACUUAAUCAGGUAACACAGCUAAAGAAUUUGUGCAAAUUCCUGGUACGUUUUAAAUUAUAGUUAACAAAACAAGUAGCACCACUUUUUAAAAAAUCAACUUUUAUUUUAGAUACAGGGGAUACAUGUGUACAUUUGUUAUUUGGGGAUACUGUGUGAUGCUGAGGUUUGGAGUACAGAUCUCGUCACCCGGGUAGUGAGCAGAGUAUCCAAUAGGUACUUUUUAAAACUCCCCAUCCCCCUGCUCCUUUCACUCUCUAAUGGUCCACAAUGUCUACUGUUCUUAUAUUUACAAUAUGUCUAUAUGUGCUCAAUGUUUAGCUUCCACUUAUA